AAAAAGUGAAUCGUGGCGUCAUCUAGCAGCGAAGAGAUGGAAAUAUCUUCAAUCUACAUGUCGCUCUACAAUGUUGAAGACUGGCAAAUCCUAUAUAACCUGUGAAAAAUAAAAAUUAUUCUCAAGUAAGGAAUAUCCAGUCCUUUAUUAGAUAAAGAGUAUGGCAAACGGUAGUCAUUGCAUGUACUUUGUCAAACGGAAAAAACGUUUCUGUCGCAUGACGGUGGGCGAGGGCAAAAAUUAUUGCGGCGAGCAUCAACAAAACAUCGCCGAUUCCGACGAUACUGGUGACAGGAGAGUAAAGUGUCCACUGGAUCCCACGCACACGUGUUACCAGUCAAAGCUGACGAAGCAUCUGGGCGUGUGCAACACCAAAAGAAAUUUGGAUGCGCAACCUGCGUUUAUAGUCAAGGGUAUCAACUUGGACGAGGAGACUAUGGUGGCGCCACCGCAUGUACCGUUGUCUCAGCUCGAUGAAUCUGUUUUGGAAACGGUGAUAAGAAAGAUCCAUUCUGCCUAUGACAAACUACCAGACUUUUCUCAAGCGAUACUACAGCACGACGUGCUGAAAAACAAAUUGAGGGACGAGACCUGCGGGAGUAACGUUAGAAAACACUUGCUCCAAAACGCAUCUCUACUUGGACAUUUGGAGCAAGCUGGUCUCGUGCAGGACAAUACCUGUUUCAUUGAAUUUGGGGCAGGAAAAGCUUUAUUAACAUACUGGCUGGGGCAGAUCAUAAAAAACAAAUCGAACUCUUGCGUCUUACUAGUCGACCGUUCGAGUCAUCGGCACAAGGGAGACAAUAAACUUAGGAGGGAAGAGAAUCGUCUCGUAAUAAAAAGGGUGCGCGCCGAUAUUGCCGAUUUGCAAUUGAACAAGAUCUUGGAAAUCCAGACAAUCAAAUAUAAAGUCGGGAUAGCGAAACAUCUCUGCGGGACAGCCACUGACUUGGCGAUACGUUGCUUGGCGAAGUCAAUAAACAACGAGCCUAAGGUCGAUGUUCGCGGCUUAGUCCUCGCAUUUUGCUGCCACCACAAAUGCGAAUAUUCGUCUUACGUAGGCAGAGAAUAUCUGCGACAAUGUGACUUCACCGCAAAUGAGUUCUCGGUUUUACGCAGCAUAGUUAGUUGGGCGACCUGUGCUCCUCGUUUAAAAAAUAACGUUAAACCGCAACACGAUUCCACCGUCCGGUACGACGGGCAGGAUAAUGUCAGCUGGUCUUCAAAAUUAGACGAACGCGAAAUUAUCGGACGCAAGGCUAAGACGCUGCUGAAUUGGGGUCGUUUGUCAUUUCUGCAAAGUAUUGGAUUUCAGGCCGAGCUAUUUUAUUAUACUACCACCGAAGUUUCGCCAGAAAAUAUGUGUAUUGUAGCUACUCGAAAAUCAUGAUCAUCGUUACCGCAACAUUUAUUGUUAACUACUACUGCUACCAUCUAUCUUUGAUGGCACCUAUUUCAUCUGAUCGUGACCUCGAUCGGUGGAAUAGGCUGUAAACUUACCGAUUCGUUCAACGACAGUGAAUGACACGAGGACACGAGUCCCUCUCGGAGUAGUACGCAAGACGCAAAUAACUUCCCCCACUCAAUGGGAUGCCCCGCCCAAUACGAGUGAUCUAACGCUGUUCAAACAUUCCAACGCACAAAAGCGACGCGCAAGUAGCUGGAUGUUUUUCACAUCUUGCUUGUGUAAAAUAUUAUUAUAUUACCAAGUGGAGAAUAAAUAUCGACGACGCGACAGGCGAAAGAAAAGGAACAUCCUUAGACGAGCGCGAAGAUUAUCUGAAGAAUCCGUACUUCAAAGGACACGAGUACGGUGACUUCACGCCGUUCUACAUCACGAUAGCCCUCUGCGCUACUUUGGGUGGAGCCCUGUUCAUUCUGAACAUCGUGUUUUGCUGGUGCU
Molecule: RNA transcript, 1903 nt
Organism: Formica exsecta
Lineage: Eukaryota; Metazoa; Arthropoda; Insecta; Hymenoptera; Formicidae
Gene name: tRNA:m(4)X modification enzyme TRM13 homolog
Exons: 7
Source: RefSeq, a predicted model, not a curated record